GGGUGGUAAUGCCGGAUGCUCCAGUUGAUCGCAUGGUCUUCUGGGAAAGCUUUCGCGGUAUGGGAUGGGGUCGCGUCCUAUCAGCUUGACGGCGGGGUAACGGCCCACCGUGGCUUCGACGGGUAGCCGGCCUGAGAGGGCGACCGGCCACAUUGGGACUGAGAUACGGCCCAGACUCCUACGGGAGGCAGCAGUGGGGAAUAUUGCACAAUGGGCGCAAGCCUGAUGCAGCGACGCCGCGUGAGGGAUGGAGGCCUUCGGGUUGUAAACCUCUUUUAUCGGGGAGCAAGCGAGAGUGAGUUUACCCGUUGAAUAAGCACCGGCUAACUACGUGCCAGCAGCCGCGGUAAUACGUAGGGUGCAAGCGUUAUCCGGAAUUAUUGGGCGUAAAGGGCUCGUAGGCGGUUCGUCGCGUCCGGUGUGAAAGUCCAUCGCUUAACGGUGGAUCCGCGCCGGGUACGGGCGGGCUUGAGUGCGGUAGGGGAGACUGGAAUUCCCGGUGUAACGGUGGAAUGUGUAGAU
Molecule: ribosomal RNA, 522 nt
Filed under: Bifidobacterium longum subsp. infantis
Lineage: Bacteria; Bacillati; Actinomycetota; Actinomycetes; Bifidobacteriales; Bifidobacteriaceae
Description: bacterial SSU rRNA
Rfam family: Bacterial small subunit ribosomal RNA
Source: RNAcentral